This 253-nucleotide ribosomal RNA is filed under the name uncultured bacterium. RNAcentral's name for it is "partial 16S ribosomal RNA". It matches the Rfam family "Bacterial small subunit ribosomal RNA", at positions 524 to 776 of the family's 1533-position model. The record is from RNAcentral.
UACGGGGGGGGUAAGCGUUGUUCGGAAUUACUGGGCGUAAAGGGUGCGCAGGCGGCCAUGUGUGUUAGGCGUGAAAGCCCGGGGCUUAACCCCGGAAUUGCACCUAAAACUACGUGGCUAGAGCAUUGGAGAGGGUAGCGGAAUUCACGGUGUAGCAGUGAAAUGCGUAGAUAUCGUGAGGAACACCAGAGGCGAAGGCGGCAUCCUGGACCGGUAUUGACGCUGAGGCGCGAAAGCCAGGGGAGCAAACGGG